UGCCCUUUGUACACACCGCCCGUCGCUACUACCGAUUGAAUGGCUCAGUGAGGCCUUCGGACUGGCUCAGGGAGGUCGGCAACGACCACCCAGAGCCGGAAAGUUGGUCAAACUCGGUCAUUUAGAGGAAGUAAAAGUCGUAACAAGGUCUCCGUAGGUGAACCUGCGGAGGGAUCAUUA
This 180-nucleotide ribosomal RNA is filed under the name Ramularia vizellae. Its description in RNAcentral is "partial 18S ribosomal RNA". It matches the Rfam family "Eukaryotic small subunit ribosomal RNA", at positions 1654 to 1831 of the family's 1831-position model. The record is from RNAcentral. Lineage: Eukaryota; Fungi; Ascomycota; Dothideomycetes; Mycosphaerellales; Mycosphaerellaceae.